AGUGGGACAGCUGGGUCAAAUGGUGGAUCCAUUUCUGAGGUAUCUCCAUACUGCUUUCCAGAGUGGUUAAACCAAGUUGCAGCCCCACCAGCAAU
RNAcentral lists this microRNA precursor (95 nucleotides) under Marmota monax (woodchuck). Lineage: Eukaryota; Metazoa; Chordata; Mammalia; Rodentia; Sciuridae. The record is from RNAcentral.